ACACGGGGGGGGCGAGCGUUAUUCGGAAUUACUGGGCGUAAAGGGCGCGUAGGCGGUCCGUUAAGUGUGAAGUGAAAUGCCUGGGCUCAACCUGGGACGUGCUUUGCAUACUGGUGGACUUGAGUCCAAGGGGGGGUGGUGGAAUUCCUGGUGUAGGGGUGAAAUCCGUAGAUAUCAGGAGGAACACCGUUGGCGAAGGCGGCCACCUGGAUUGGUACUGACGCUGAGGCGCGAAAGCGUGGGGAGCGAACAGGAUUAGAAACCCUAGUAGUCC
This 274-nucleotide ribosomal RNA is filed under the name uncultured bacterium. RNAcentral's name for it is "partial 16S ribosomal RNA". It matches the Rfam family "Bacterial small subunit ribosomal RNA", at positions 523 to 796 of the family's 1533-position model. The record is from RNAcentral.